This is a non-coding RNA of Triplophysa dalaica, 327 nucleotides long. Lineage: Eukaryota; Metazoa; Chordata; Actinopteri; Cypriniformes; Nemacheilidae. The record is from the annotation of a RefSeq genome assembly.
AUGAGCUUCACUCGUCCUAAAGUGAGCGUCCUGCCGCCCUCCAGUGAAGAGAUUUCCACAAAGAAAACAGCAACACUGAUGUGUGUGCUCAACAAGGGUUUCCCCUCAGACUGGAGUGUGAUGUGGAAGGUGGACGGGAGCAGCAGAUCUCAGGACAGCAGUGUUGGGCUCCUGGAGAAGGACGGUCUGUACAGCUGGAGCAGCAGUCUGACUCUCUCUGAGCAGGAGUGGAGCUCAGUGCUCUCAGUGAGCUGUGAGGCCAAACACAAAGAUCCCAGUCAUACAGUCACUGGAGAAUUCAGGAGAGAUGAUGAGUGUUCACACUAG